ACAAUCCUUGAUUUAUAUUGAUUUGACAAUAAAUGCCGCUGAGGUGUCAACACCAAACUUAUUCCAACCAUUUUUAUUUAUUUUAAUUAUAAUAUUAUUCCAUUAGAUGAUUAGGAUUUCCAAUAGCUGUGUUUUAUUGUUCCACUCCAUUUGAAAUUCAAAAUCCUAAACCUAAACUUGAAAACUUAUUUUUCUACGCAUUAUUAAAAUUUUCUGUCAUUACCUAUGUUAUUGCUAUCAUCCAGACUAACUUUACAUGUUCCAAGCAAUUACAAAUAAAUGAGUAUUAAUAACAAUUUUUCACAUUUACACGCUAUUUACACGCUAGGGAUAUGAAAGGGAGGGUUUAGAGAAUACAAACAACUAAUCUUUCUCAUCUUAUUUUCAUUCCUCCUCUCAAUGUCCAAUUUUUUUUCCUUCAACCUCCAGUUGAAAAAAUUUACAAUCUGUGAAAACCCUCCUUCUUCUUCUUCUUCUUUUUUUGAUUUUCCAUACCAAUACUAAUUUAUAUAGUUGUGGUGUUUGUUUCUGUUUCCAGAUCCAGAAGCCAUAACACUCAACUUCACCGGCAAAGCCAUAACAUGUCGUGGAUGCUCCGGCAACAACGAAAGUCGCAAGAAAGUUUAUGAUUUGGCUUUAUUUGAGUUGAUAUAUUUAUGUUGAUUCUUGCUACGGGAUGAUUUAUUGGGUUUACACCUAUUGUUCAAAUAUUGUUCUAUUUUGCAUCUACUCACUGACAGUUAAUAUUAGUAUUUGAAUUCUUCAAUUGGAGAUGCAAAAUCAGAGAUCUUCAUAAUAGGUUGGUGGCCUUUUAUGGAAAAAAAAAGCUAAAUUAAGUAGGAAGUCUUUCGGUGAAAAUGUUGUCGGAUACUUUGCAUAUUCGGAAAAAGGAUUCAAGCAGCAUCUCUGUGUAUGAUUGAAUAGAAAAUGGAGUUUAGAAUCAGAAGCAUUGGAAUGAAAUAUAUUGUACCGAUGAAAACCAUCAUUGGAAUUAUAGUGAUCGAGAAUAGUUGCAAGAAUGGAAUUGAGUGUGUUCAAGAGUCAAUCUUUUUUUUAGGUUUCAUAUUGCAUUUGAAAUAUUAUGAAAUAAACUUCUAAUUUUUUUA
Long non-coding RNA from Vicia villosa (hairy vetch), 1106 nucleotides. RefSeq lists it as uncharacterized. NCBI's taxonomy places the organism in Eukaryota, Viridiplantae, Streptophyta, Magnoliopsida, Fabales, Fabaceae. The record is from RefSeq and is a predicted model, not a curated record. The transcript is spliced from 5 exons.